CGCGCCGCCGGGGUCCCGCCCGCUGGCUGAGAGGGGAAGGCAGCGGAGAACCCGGCGGAGGAGUCCGGCCCGCGGAGCCCGGCCCCUCCAGGGGCUGAUCUCCCGGACCACUCCGCGCGGGAAGACCCAUCGAACGCACCCUGUGAGCUCAGAUUUUUAAGGUUUCCCAGCCAGCCUGCUGGCUGCUCAUUAUGGUCGAGAACAAAAUGCUAUGUUCGAAAAGAAAAAGAAAGAAAAAAAGUAAAAGAAAAAAGAAAAAAAGUGAGAAAAAGCCUUCCGUGAAUGUACCAGGCUCAUUUCUGCAGGACCGUGCCCCUCGUUUUGUCUGUAACAGAGAAAGCUCUCCCUUACGGCUUUGUUAGAGUUGGGCAUUCUCAAGCUCCGCGUCCUCACGGAGAUACUGUGGUCAUACACUAAAGGGAAGAAAUCGCCACAGGAGCUGGGAACGGUUUGGGUUGGUUUGUUUGUUUCCUCUCCGCUAACCUUCGAAAUAAAGAAUUUGAACGUG
Long non-coding RNA from Lagopus leucura (white-tailed ptarmigan), 508 nucleotides. RefSeq lists it as uncharacterized. The record is from RefSeq and is a predicted model, not a curated record. The transcript is spliced from 2 exons. NCBI's taxonomy places the organism in Eukaryota, Metazoa, Chordata, Aves, Galliformes, Phasianidae.